AUUGAACGCUGGCGGCAGGCCUAACACAUGCAAGUCGAGCGGAGCGGCGGACGGGUGAGUAAUGCCUAGGAAUCUGCCUGGUAGUGGGGGAUAACGUCCGGGAACGGGCGCUAAUACCGCAUACUAUAAGAAGAGCAUAGUGCGGCUUAGCAAGUGGGUGUGGUAAAGGCCUACCAAGUCGACGAUCCGUAACUGGUCUGAGAGGAUGAUCAGUCACACUGUAACGGAGACACGGGCCGGACUCUGCCGGGAGGAGGCAGUGGGGAAUAUUGUACAAUUGGCGAAAGCCUGAUCCAGCCAUGCCGCGCGUGUUAAGAAGGUCUUCGGAUUGUAAAGCUCUUUAAUUUUUGAGGCGUUACCAACAGAAUAAGCACCGGCUAACUUCGUGCCAGCCGCCGCGGUAAUAC
This 407-nucleotide ribosomal RNA is filed under the name uncultured bacterium. RNAcentral describes it as "partial 16S ribosomal RNA". It matches the Rfam family "Bacterial small subunit ribosomal RNA", at positions 30 to 526 of the family's 1533-position model. The record is from RNAcentral.